GACGAACGCUGGCGGCGUGCCUAAUACAUGCAAGUAGAACGCUGAAGGAGGAGCUUGCUUCUCUGGAUGAGUUGCGAACGGGUGAGUAACGCGUAGGUAACCUGCCUGGUAGCGGGGGAUAACUAUUGGAAACGAUAGCUAAUACCGCAUAAUAGUAGAUGUUGCAUGACAUUUGCUUAAAAGGUGCAAUUGCAUCACUACCAGAUGGACCUGCGUUGUAUUAGCUAGUUGGUGGGGUAACGGCUCACCAAGGCGACGAUACAUAGCCGACCUGAGAGGGGGAUCGGCCACACUGGGACUGAGACACGGCCCAGACUCCUACGGGAGGCAGCAGUAGGGAAUCUUCGGCAAUGGACGGAAGUCUGACCGAGCAACGCCGCGUGAGUGAAGAAGGUUUUCGGAUCGUAAAGCUCUGUUGUAAGAGAAGAACGAGUGUGAGAGUGGAAAGUUCACACUGUGACGGUAUCUUACCAGAAAGGGACGGCUAACUACGUG
Molecule: ribosomal RNA, 495 nt
Filed under: uncultured bacterium
Lineage: Bacteria
Description: partial 16S ribosomal RNA
Rfam family: Bacterial small subunit ribosomal RNA
Source: RNAcentral